AGCGUAGACGGAUGGACAAGUCUGAUGUGAAAGGCUGGGGCUCAACCCCGGGACUGCAUUGGAAACUGCCCGUCCUGAGUGCCGGAGAGGUAAGCGGAAUUCCUAGUGUAGCGGUGAAAUGCGUAGAUAUUAGGAGGAACACCAGUGGCGAAGGCGGCUUACUGGACGGUAACUGACGUUGAGGCUCGAAAGCGUGGGGAGCAAACA
RNAcentral lists this ribosomal RNA (207 nucleotides) under uncultured bacterium. Its description in RNAcentral is "partial 16S ribosomal RNA". It matches the Rfam family "Bacterial small subunit ribosomal RNA", at positions 568 to 774 of the family's 1533-position model. The record is from RNAcentral.